CGCGGAGGGAUCAUUA
RNAcentral lists this ribosomal RNA (16 nucleotides) under Lomentospora prolificans. RNAcentral describes it as "partial 18S ribosomal RNA". The record is from RNAcentral. Lineage: Eukaryota; Fungi; Ascomycota; Sordariomycetes; Microascales; Microascaceae.